UUAAUAUUUAAACAUAAUGUCAUUGAUCUUAAUUAUAUUUGAUUCAGUGCAACGGUCCUAUGCGGUAUAGUGCCUCCAAUUCAAGACGGACAACCUCUCAUUUUAACUCCGUACAUAAAAAAUGGUGAGAUAGAAAAAGCGAGAAACCAGUCCGAAGUGGACCCAUCCCUGUUCGCAGGCGUCAAGAGUUACGCAGGAUAUUUUACUGUUAACGAAACGGCGAAAUGGCAUCUAUUUUCUUGGUUCUUCCCCAGCCCUAAUUUCUAUCCUCUAGACAAAACUCCAUUGAUAAUUUGGUUACAAGGAGGCCCUGGAGGAUCGUCCAUGUUUGGAUUAUUCGAAGAAAUUGGUCCUAUAUAGUAUGUCAAUAAUAAAAUAGAGGGCAGGGUUUUUGGUAACUGGGGUUAUGAUUACUCCCUCCUCUUCAUUGACAAUCCAGUGGGUACUGGGUUUAGUUUUACUGAGACUGAGGAGUACGUGACUAAUGAGGACCAGGUUGGACAAUGUCUUUUAAAUCAUAUACAACAAUUUCUAGAAGUAUAUCCAGAACUGAAAACUGCACCGUUGUUCAUCGCCGGUGAAUCGUAUGCAGGAAAGUAUAUUCCAGCUUCUGGGCAUUACAUUCAUAAAAACAAUGCA
Molecule: non-coding RNA, 639 nt
Organism: Spodoptera litura
Lineage: Eukaryota; Metazoa; Arthropoda; Insecta; Lepidoptera; Noctuidae
Source: RefSeq, a predicted model, not a curated record